This 515-nucleotide ribosomal RNA is filed under the name uncultured bacterium. RNAcentral describes it as "partial 16S ribosomal RNA". It matches the Rfam family "Bacterial small subunit ribosomal RNA", at positions 28 to 523 of the family's 1533-position model. The record is from RNAcentral.
GAUGAACGCUGGCGGCGUGCCUAAUACAUGCAAGUCGAGCGAAUGGAUUAAGAGCUUGCUCUUAUGAAGUUAGCGGCGGACGGGUGAGUAACACGUGGGUAACCUGCCCAUAAGACUGGGAUAACCCCGGGAAACCGGGGCUAAUACCGGACAACAUUUUGAACCGCAUGGUUCGAAAUUGAAAGGCGGCUUCGGCUGUCACUUAUGGAUGGACCCGCGUCGCAUUAGCUAGUUGGUGAGGUAACGGCUCACCAAGGCAACGAUGCGUAGCCGACCGGAGAGGGUGAUCGGCCACACUGGGACUGAGACACGGCCCAGACUCCUACGGGAGGCAGCAGUAGGGAAUCUUCCGCAAUGGACGAAAGUCUGACGGAGCAACGCCGCGUGAGUGACGAAGGCUUUCGGGUCGUAAAACUCUGUUGUUAGGGAAGAACAAGUGCUAGUUGAAUAAGCUGACACCUUGACGGUACCUAACCAGAAAGCCACGGCUAACUACGUGCCAGCCGCCGCAGUAA